GCGGCAAAAGCUCAGAUUUGAAAUCGCCUUUCGGGGCGAGUUGUAGAUUGCAGGUGGGAGAGUUUGUGGAGGCGCGUGCCGAAGUCCCUUGGAACAGGGCGCCAUUGAGGGUGAGAGCCCCGUGCGACGCGUGCCGAAGCUUUAACUCCCCUCUGACGAGUCGAGUUGUUUGGGAAUGCAGCUCUAAGUGGGUGGUAAAUUCCAUCUAAGGCUAAAUACUGGCGAGAGACCGAUAGCGAACAAGUACUGUGAAGGAAAGAUGAAAAGCACUUUGAAAAGAGAGUGAAACAGCACGUGAAAUUGUUGAAAGGGAAGGGUAUUGGGCUCGACAUGGGAAUUGCGCACCGCUGCUCCUUGUGGGCGGCGCUCUGGGCUUUUCCUGGGCCAGCAUCGGUUUUCGCCGCAGGAGAAGGGGCUGUGGAAUGUAGCUGCUUGCAGUGUUAUAGCCACUGGCCAGAUGCUGCGUGUGGGGACCGAGGGCUGCGACAUCUGUCUCGGAUGCUGGCACAACGGCGCAAUACCG
Molecule: ribosomal RNA, 523 nt
Filed under: Candida tetrigidarum
Lineage: Eukaryota; Fungi; Ascomycota; Pichiomycetes; Serinales; Debaryomycetaceae
Description: partial large subunit ribosomal RNA
Rfam family: Eukaryotic large subunit ribosomal RNA
Source: RNAcentral